Molecule: ribosomal RNA, 253 nt
Filed under: uncultured bacterium
Lineage: Bacteria
Description: partial 16S ribosomal RNA
Rfam family: Bacterial small subunit ribosomal RNA
Source: RNAcentral
UACGAAGGGGGCUAGCGUUGCUCGGAAUCACUGGGCGUAAAGCGCACGUAGGCGGAUCUUUAAGUCAGGGGUGAAAUCCCAAGGCUCAACCUUGGAACUGCCUUUGAUACUGGCGAUCUCGAGUCCGGGAGAGGUGAGUGGAACUGCGAGUGUAGAGGUGAAAUUCGUAGAUAUUCGCAAGAACACCAGUGGCGAAGGCGGCUCACUGGCCCGGUACUGACGCUGAGACGCGAAAGCGUGGGGAGCAAACAGG